UACGUAGGGUGCAGGCGUUAAUCGGAAUUACUGGGCGUAAAGCGUGCGCAGGCGGUCUUUUAAGUCAGAUGUGAAAUCCCCGGGCUUAACCUGGGAACUGCGUUUGAAACUGGAAGGCUAGAGUGUGGCAGAGGGGGAUGGAAUUCCGCGUGUAGCAGUGAAAUGCGUAGAUAUGCGGAGGAACACCGAUGGCGAAGGCAAUCCCCUGGGCCUGCACUGACGCUCAUGCACGAAAGCGUGGGGAGCAAACAGG
Molecule: ribosomal RNA, 253 nt
Filed under: uncultured bacterium
Lineage: Bacteria
Description: partial 16S ribosomal RNA
Rfam family: Bacterial small subunit ribosomal RNA
Source: RNAcentral